Molecule: ribosomal RNA, 119 nt
Filed under: Harpegnathos saltator (Jerdon's jumping ant)
Lineage: Eukaryota; Metazoa; Arthropoda; Insecta; Hymenoptera; Formicidae
Source: RNAcentral
GUCAACGGUCAUACCACGUUGAAAAUACCAGUUCUCGUCCGAUCACUGCAGUCAAGCAACGUUGGGCAUGGUUAGUACUUGGAUGGGUGACCGCUUAGGAAUACCAUGUACUGUUGACA